CAUCGAUGAAGAACGCAGCGAAAUGCGAUAAGUAAUGUGAAUUGCAGAAUUCAGUGAAUCAUCGAAUCUUUGAACGCACAUUGCGCCCGCCAGUAUUCUGGCGGGCAUGCCUGUUCGAGCGUCAUUUCAACCCUCAAGCCCUGCUUGGUGUUGGG
This 155-nucleotide ribosomal RNA is filed under the name Periglandula sp. 3 WB-2014. RNAcentral describes it as "5.8S ribosomal RNA". The stretch from base 1 to 124 matches the Rfam family "5.8S ribosomal RNA", at positions 31 to 154 of the family's 154-position model. Rfam says of the family: 5.8S ribosomal RNA (5.8S rRNA) is a component of the large subunit of the eukaryotic ribosome. Lineage: Eukaryota; Fungi; Ascomycota; Sordariomycetes; Hypocreales; Clavicipitaceae. The record is from RNAcentral.